RNAcentral lists this unclassified non-coding RNA (340 nucleotides) under soil metagenome. RNAcentral's name for it is "partial contains 5.8S ribosomal RNA, internal transcribed spacer 2, and large subunit ribosomal RNA". The stretch from base 1 to 120 matches the Rfam family "5.8S ribosomal RNA", at positions 35 to 154 of the family's 154-position model. The record is from RNAcentral.
GAUGAAGAACGUAGCGAAAUGCGAUAAGUAGUGUGAAUUGCAGAAUUCAGUGAAUCAUCGAAUCUUUGAACGCACAUUGCGCCCUUUGGUAUUCCAAAGGGCAUGCCUGUUCGAGCGUCAUUUGUACCCUCAAGCUUUGCUUGGUGUUGGGCGUCUUGUCUCUAGCUUUGCUGGAGACUCGCCUUAAAGUAAUUGGCAGCCGGCCUACUGGUUUCGGAGCGCAGCACAAGUCGCACUCUCUAUCAGCAAAGGUCAAGCAUCCAUUAAGCCUUUUUUUCAACUUUUGACCUCGGAUCAGGUAGGGAUACCCGCUGAACUUAAGCAUAUCAAAAGCGGAGGA